Molecule: ribosomal RNA, 2923 nt
Filed under: Campylobacter coli
Lineage: Bacteria; Pseudomonadati; Campylobacterota; Epsilonproteobacteria; Campylobacterales; Campylobacteraceae
Description: 23S ribosomal RNA
Rfam family: Bacterial large subunit ribosomal RNA
Source: RNAcentral
AAAAAAGGUAAGCUACUAAGAGCGAAUGGUGGAUGCCUUGACUGGUAAAGGCGAUGAAGGACGUACUAGACUGCGAUAAGCUACGGGGAGCUGUCAAGAAGCUUUGAUCCGUAGAUUUCCGAAUGGGGCAACCCAAUGUAUAGAGAUAUACAUUACCUAUAUAGGAGCGAACGAGGGGAAUUGAAACAUCUUAGUACCCUCAGGAAAAGAAAUCAAUAGAGAUUGCGUCAGUAGCGGCGAGCGAAAGCGCAAGAGGGCAAACCCAGUGCUUGCACUGGGGGUUGUAGGACUGCAAUGUGCAAGAGGUGAGUUUAGCAGAACAUUCUGGAAAGUAUAGCCAUAGAGGGUGAUAGUCCCGUAUGCGAAAAACAAACCUUAGCUAGCAGUAUCCUGAGUAGGGCGGGACACGAGAAAUCCUGUCUGAAGCUGGGUCGACCACGAUCCAACCCUAAAUACUAAUACCAGAUCGAUAGUGCACAAGUACCGUGAGGGAAAGGUGAAAAGAACUGAGGUGAUCAGAGUGAAAUAGAACCUGAAACCAUUUGCUUACAAUCAUUCAGAGCCCUAUGUAGCAAUACAGGGUGAUGGACUGCCUUUUGCAUAAUGAGCCUGCGAGUUGUGGUGUCUGGCAAGGUUAAGCAAACGCGAAGCCGUAGCGAAAGCGAGUCUGAAUAGGGCGCUUAGUCAGAUGCUGCAGACCCGAAACGAAGUGAUCUAUCCAUGAGCAAGUUGAAGCUAGUGUAAGAACUAGUGGAGGACUGAACCCAUAGGCGUUGAAAAGCCCCGGGAUGACUUGUGGAUAGGGGUGAAAGGCCAAUCAAACUUCGUGAUAGCUGGUUCUCUCCGAAAUAUAUUUAGGUAUAGCGUUGUGUCGUAAUAUAAGGGGGUAGAGCACUGAAUGGGCUAGGGCAUACACCAAUGUACCAAACCCUAUCAAACUCCGAAUACCUUAUAUGUAAUCACAGCAGUCAGGCGGCGAGUGAUAAAAUCCGUCGUCAAGAGGGAAACAACCCAGACUACCAGCUAAGGUCCCUAAAUCUUACUUAAGUGGAAAACGAUGUGAAGUUACUUAAACAACCAGGAGGUUGGCUUAGAAGCAGCCAUCCUUUAAAGAAAGCGUAAUAGCUCACUGGUCUAGUGAUUUUGCGCGGAAAAUAUAACGGGGCUAAAGUAAGUACCGAAGCUGUAGACUUGAUUUUAUCAAGUGGUAGGAGAGCGUUCUAUUUGCGUCGAAGGUAUACCGGUAAGGAGUGCUGGAGCGAAUAGAAGUGAGCAUGCAGGCAUGAGUAGCGAUAAUUAAUGUGAGAAUCAUUAACGCCGUAAACCCAAGGUUUCCUACGCGAUGCUCGUCAUCGUAGGGUUAGUCGGGUCCUAAGUCGAGUCCGAAAGGGGUAGACGAUGGCAAAUUGGUUAAUAUUCCAAUACCAACAUUAGUGUGCGAUGGAAGGACGCUUAGGGCUAAGGGGGCUAGCGGAUGGAAGUGCUAGUCUAAGGUCGUAGGAGGUUAUACAGGCAAAUCCGUAUAACAAUACUCCGAGAACUGAAAGGCUUUUUGAAGUCUUCGGAUGGAUAGAAGAACCCCUGAUGCCGUCGAGCCAAGAAAAGUUUCUAAGUUUAGCUAAUGUUGCCCGUACCGUAAACCGACACAGGUGGGUGGGAUGAGUAUUCUAAGGCGCGUGGAAGAACUCUCUUUAAGGAACUCUGCAAAAUAGCACCGUAUCUUCGGUAUAAGGUGUGGUUCGCUUCGUAUUAGGAUUUACUCCGAAAGCGAAGAAACUUACAACAAAGAGUCCCUCCCGACUGUUUACCAAAAACACAGCACUCUGCUAACUCGUAAGAGGAUGUAUAGGGUGUGACGCCUGCCCGGUGCUCGAAGGUUAAUUGAUGGGGUUAGCAUUAGCGAAGCUCUUGAUCGAAGCCCGAGUAAACGGCGGCCGUAACUAUAACGGUCCUAAGGUAGCGAAAUUCCUUGUCGGUUAAAUACCGACCUGCAUGAAUGGCGUAACGAGAUGGGAGCUGUCUCAAAGAGGGAUCCAGUGAAAUUGUAGUGGAGGUGAAAAUUCCUCCUACCCGCGGCAAGACGGAGAGACCCCGUGGACCUUUACUACAGCUUGACACUGCUAUUUGGAUAAGAAUGUGCAGGAUAGGUGGGAGGCUUUGAGUAUAUGACGCCAGUUGUAUAUGAGCCAUUGUUGAGAUACCACUCUUUCUUAUUUGGGUAGCUAACCAGCUUGAGUUAUCCUCAAGUGGGACAAUGUCUGGUGGGUAGUUUGACUGGGGCGGUCGCCUCCCAAAUAAUAACGGAGGCUUACAAAGGUUGGCUCAGAACGGUUGGAAAUCGUUCGUAGAGUAUAAAGGUAUAAGCCAGCUUAACUGCAAGACAUACAAGUCAAGCAGAGACGAAAGUCGGUCUUAGUGAUCCGGUGGUUCUGUGUGGAAGGGCCAUCGCUCAAAGGAUAAAAGGUACCCCGGGGAUAACAGGCUGAUCUCCCCCAAGAGCUCACAUCGACGGGGAGGUUUGGCACCUCGAUGUCGGCUCAUCGCAUCCUGGGGCUGGAGCAGGUCCCAAGGGUAUGGCUGUUCGCCAUUUAAAGCGGUACGCGAGCUGGGUUCAGAACGUCGUGAGACAGUUCGGUCCCUAUCUGCCGUGGGCGUAAGAAGAUUGAAGAGAUUUGACCCUAGUACGAGAGGACCGGGUUGAACAAACCACUGGUGUAGCUGUUGUUCUGCCAAGAGCAUCGCAGCGUAGCUAAGUUUGGAAAGGAUAAACGCUGAAAGCAUCUAAGCGUGAAGCCAACUCUAAGAUGAAUCUUCUCUAAGCUCUCUAGAAGACUACUAGUUUGAUAGGCUGGGUGUGUAAUGGAUGAAAGUCCUUUAGCUGACCAGUACUAAUAGAGCGUUUGGCUUAUCUUUAAUAAAGCAU